Molecule: non-coding RNA, 368 nt
Organism: Pelobates cultripes (western spadefoot toad)
Lineage: Eukaryota; Metazoa; Chordata; Amphibia; Anura; Pelobatidae
Source: the annotation of a GenBank genome assembly
UCUGGUCUGUCGCACUUAGCCAUCCCGGGAACACGCUGAACUGCAUACCAAUGUAGUGCCUGGUAUGCAUCUUCGAGCCCCAGUUCCUUCCAUGCCAGAGAAUUAAGCUGCAUUACCAACUCCCACCUGGGCUGUUCUCCCAUCAUAGGCAUCCAUAGGGCCACUCGGGCCUGUAGUCGCUGCUCCUCGCUGGGGAGACGCUCACCUCGCCAACGCUGGACACCCUCCAGGGCUUCGUCCCACAUCUCUUUCCUGGCGCCCUCUCUGCAGUCCAACCUGGUUGCCUCUGAUACUGGCUCACCCACUGAGGCCAAGAGGCUCUGUAACCUCCAGUCGAACUCAUCCUCCACUUUGAGCGCUGUCCAGGG